This is a long non-coding RNA of Dreissena polymorpha, 2622 nucleotides long. RefSeq lists it as uncharacterized. The record is from RefSeq and is a predicted model, not a curated record. The transcript is spliced from 4 exons. NCBI's taxonomy places the organism in Eukaryota, Metazoa, Mollusca, Bivalvia, Myida, Dreissenidae.
UCUAUUGCGCAAUCUGCAAGGGAGACAACUUCCGACCUACAAAUAUGAGGUUAAGUUUGCGAUGGUUCCAAAAUCAAAGAGUUAACUUUGAUCAACGUGAUGCCCGCGAUGGAAAGGCGAAAAAAGGAUAUUAUUAUUUACUAGCAUUUCUUGCAGUUACUGUGCCAAGUAUCUACUUCGCAAUUAUACAACCAAUGAUGAAUCCGACAAAAUGGCAAAAGAUUUCCAACGAGGCACGCAGAGGCAUUGACAGAGAACAGAUUCAACCUGGUGGCAUGGACAUGUGGAGUGAUCCGUUUAAGAAGAAACCCAAGUCACAGUGAUGGAAUGGUGUACGUGUUGUGUUGUUGACUUUUACCACUCGCCUGAGGGUACACUCUUGUAGUUGCUGGUGUGUUGUGUCACAGACAUUGGUUUGAAUCCUUCUGCUGGACAGUGGUCACAAUAGACUGAGAUAUGUCUGACGGAAUGUUCAUGACUUGAAUUAAAAUACAAAGUUAAAUUCAGGUUGUUUACAUCACCUGGAUUGCUCAUAGUGUACAUAUGCUGGGAAACCCUCAACAUUUGAUAAAAUUUCAUUAAUGUAUGGUAACAAUGAUAAUCUCUUAAUUUUUAUGCCCUUGGUAGCGUGGCAUAAAGCAGUUGAACUGUCCGUCAGUAUGUCGGUCUGUCUGUCGGUCUGAAAACUUUAAUGGCCAUAACUUUUUCAAUAUUGAAGAUUGCAACUUUAUAUUUGGCAUGCAUGUUCAUCUCACGGAGCUGCACAUUUUGAGUGGUGAAAGGUGAAGUUCAAGGUCAUCCUUUAAGGACAGACGCCAUAUAUUUGACAUUUGACCUUGAAGUAUGACCUUGACCUUUCACCACUCAAAAUGUUCAGCUCCAUGAGAUACACAUGCAUGCCAAAUAUCAAGUUGCUAUCUUCAAUAUUGAAAAAGUUAUGGCCAACGUUAAAGUUUUCGGACGGACAGAUGCCAUAUAUUUGACAUUUGACCUUAAAGGAUGACCUUGAACUUGAAAACUUUAACAUUGGCCAUAACUUUUUCAAUAUUGAAGAUAGCAACUUGAUAUUUGGCAUGCAUGUGCAUCUAAUUCAGCUGCACAUUUUGAGUGGUGAAAGGUGAAGGUCAAGGUCAUCCUUCAAGGUCAAGGUCAAAUUUUGCAAUAUUGAAGAUAGCUAAUCGAUAUUUGGCAUUGAUGCAUAUAUAAUCGAGCUGCACAUUUUGAGUGGUGAAAGGUCAAGGUCAUCCUUCAAGGUCAAAGGUCAAAUAUAUGGGUCAAAAUCGCUCAUUUAAUGAACACUUUUGCAAUAUUUCAAUAUUCAAGAUAGCAACUUGACCAAAAUCGCUCAUUUUAGGAGUACUUUUGCAAUAUUGAAGAUAGCAACUUGAUAUUUGGCAUGCAUGUGUAUCUCAUGGAGCUGCACAUUUUGAGUGGUGAAAGGUCAAGGUCAUCCUUCAAGGUCAAAUAUAUGGGUCAAAAUUGCUCAUGUAAUGUCACUUCUGCAAUAUUGAAGCUAGCAAUUAUAUAUUUGACAUGCAUGUGUAUCCCAUGGAGCUGCACAUUUUGAGUGGUGAAGGGUCAAGGUCAUCCUUCAAGGUCAAACGUCAUAUACGGGGACAUAGUGUUUCACAAACACAUCUUGUUUAAUGAUAUCUUGGAUGUAUUCGAAAAUGGUUUUGGUCUGUUGGCCACGAGGGGGGCGGGGAAUUUAUCCUUAUAUGGCAAGAGAAAAACCUUGUUAGCACUCUUUAAGUUACAUUUAUAAUUCACUCUUCAUGAAACUUGGUCAGACCAUUCAUUCUUGUGAUAUCUUGGGCUGCACAGAACAGGUCAGUUAAUUUGUAUCUCAGAUGAGCAACUUAUUAAUGCAGCAGAAACACCAAAAAUGAACACGAAAUAGUAUAAUUUAAAGUUUGUGCUCAAACUAUUGUAAUUCUACAGAAAGGCAUGAAUCACACCACAAGUGUUUUUAAUUUGUGUUCAUACAUUUUGUAUUUAUUAUUUAUUUUGCGAUGUCUAUUUAUUGUGCUAGGCAUUAAAACAGAAUCAUUACCACAGAAUUACCUUUGGUUGAUUUCCAUAUUUGUUUAUAUGUAAGUUUGGUCGUGUUGUGUUAAAAUUAUUUUCAACAAAUAUAACAUUCGAUCAUGAAUAAAUAUUAAAACACAUUUGUACUUGGACCUAUUUUAUCAACUGUGCAUAUAAAUGAACAUAUUAAUGGACUGUGUUUGUUCUUAUUAAAGCAAAUUCAUAUGGCAUUGAAACAAUACAUUUGCAAUUUAUAAAAUUGUUCAAGAAAAUCAAUAAAGGAUUAUUUUCCAUUUCAGUUAGUUAAACGAAUGCUUCAACAUAUGUCCACAGAUUGCCAAAUUUUGUUUGUAACGAAACAACUCUUCAUACUCUAUUGAUUCUGGAACAUUCGUUGUAGUUUUGAAAUUUAUAAUGCACAAGUUUAACAGGAGAACAAAGCUGUUGUUGUUAUCUUUAGUAGCUGAGUAAUUUGACACAGUUGUUUAAAUUUGGCAAUACUUAGUUUUUACAUGAUAAACAACAUUGUAUUAUGAUACUGUUAAUAUUUUGUUAAUUUGUUUGUUUUUUAUUGACAUAAAUUUUCAAAAAGCA